GCACUUGGCGGCGUGCUUACACAUGCAAGUCGACGAUGAACCGCUUUCGGGCGGGGAUUAGUGGCGAACGGGUGAGUAACACGUGGGCAAUCUGCCCUGCACUCUGGGACAAGCCCUGGAAACGGGGUCUAAUACCGGAUAUGACUGUCCGCCGCAUGGUGGAUGGUGUAAAGCUCCGGCGGUGCAGGAUGAGCCCGCGGCCUAUCAGCUUGUUGGUGAGGUAGUGGCUCACCAAGGCGACGACGGGUAGCCGGCCUGAGAGGGCGACCGGCCACACUGGGACUGAGACACGGCCCAGACUCCUACGGGAGGCAGCAGUGGGGAAUAUUGCACAAUGGGCGAAAGCCUGAUGCAGCGACGCCGCGUGAGGGAUGACGGCCUUCGGGUUGUAAACCUCUUUCAGCAGGGAAGAAGCGAAAGUGACGGUACCUGCAGAAGAAGCGCCGGCUAACUACGUGCCAGCAGCCGCGGUAAUACGUAGGGCGCAAGCGUUGUCCGGAAUUAUUGGGCGUAAAGAGCUCGUAGGCGGCUUGUCACGUCGGUUGUGAAAGCCCGGGGCUUAACCCCGGGUCUGCAGUCGAUACGGGCAGGCUAGAGUUCGGUAGGGGAGAUCGGAAUUCCUGGUGUAGCGGUGAAAUGCGCAGAUAUCAGGAGGAACACCGGUGGCGAAGGCGGAUCUCUGGGCCGAUACUGACGCUGAGGAGCGAAAGCGUGGGGAGCGAACAGGAUUAGAUACCCUGGUAGUCCACGCCGUAAACGGUGGGCACUAGGUGUGGGCAACAUUCCACGUUGUCCGUGCCGCAGCUAACGCAUUAAGUGCCCCGCCUGGGGAGUACGGCCGCAAGGCUAAAACUCAAAGGAAUUGACGGGGGGCCCGCACAAGCGGCGGAGCAUGUGGCUUAAUUUCGACGCAACGCGAAGAAACCUUACCAAGGCUUGACAUA
This 944-nucleotide ribosomal RNA is filed under the name Streptomyces violascens. RNAcentral describes it as "bacterial SSU rRNA". It matches the Rfam family "Bacterial small subunit ribosomal RNA", at positions 33 to 988 of the family's 1533-position model. The record is from RNAcentral. Lineage: Bacteria; Bacillati; Actinomycetota; Actinomycetes; Kitasatosporales; Streptomycetaceae.